GACGAACGCUGGCGGCGUGCCUAAUACAUGCAAGUAGAACGCUGAAGAGAGGAGCUUGCUCUUCUUGGACGAGUUGCGAACGGGUGAGUAACGCGUAGGUAACCUGCCUUGUAGCGGGGGAUAACUAUUGGAAACGAUAGCUAAUACCGCAUAACAAUAGGUGACACAUGUCAUUUAUUUGAAGGGGGCAAUUGCUCCACUACAAGAUGGACCUGCGUUGUAUUAGCUAGUAGGUGAGGUAACGGCUCACCUAGGCGACGAUACAUAGCCGACCUGAGAGGGUGAUCGGCCACACUGGGACUGAGACACGGCCCAGACUCCUACGGGAGGCAGCAGUAGGGAAUCUUCGGCAAUGGGGGCAACCCUGACCGAGCAACGCCGCGUGAGUGAAGAAGGUUUUCGGAUCGUAAAGCUCUGUUGUAAGUCAAGAACGAGUGUGAGAGUGGAAAGUUCACACUGUGACGGUAGCUU
RNAcentral lists this ribosomal RNA (471 nucleotides) under Streptococcus vestibularis. Its description in RNAcentral is "bacterial SSU rRNA". It matches the Rfam family "Bacterial small subunit ribosomal RNA", at positions 28 to 481 of the family's 1533-position model. The record is from RNAcentral. Lineage: Bacteria; Bacillati; Bacillota; Bacilli; Lactobacillales; Streptococcaceae.